CAGCCGUAGGCCUACCAUGCAGUCGACGGUAGCACAGAGAGCUUGCUCUCGGGUGACGAGUGGCGGACGGGUGAGUAAUGUCUGGGAAACUGCCUGAUGGAGGGGGAUAACUACUGGAAACGGUAGCUAAUACCGCAUAACGUCGCAAGACCAAAGAGGGGGACCUUCGGGCCUCUUGCCAUCAGAUGUGCCCAGAUGGGAUUAGCUAGUAGGCGGGGUAAUGGCCCACCUAGGCGACGAUCCCUAGCUGGUCUGAGAGGAUGACCAGCCACACUGGAACUGAGACACGGUCCAGACUCCUACGGGAGGCAGCAGUGGGGAAUAUUGCACAAUGGGCGCAAGCCUGAUGCAGCCAUGCCGCGUGUGUGAAGAAGGCCUUCGGGUUGUAAAGCACUUUCAGCGGGGAGGAAGGCGGUACGGUUAAUAACCGUGCCGAUUGACGUUACCCGCAGAAGAAGCACCGGCUAACUCCGUGCCAGCAGCCGCGGUAAUACGGAGGGUGCAAGCGUUAAUCGGAAUUACUGGGCGUAAAGCGCACGCAGGCGGUCUGUCAAGUCGGAUGUGAAAUCCCCGGGCUCAACCUGGGAACUGCAUUCGAAACUGGCAGGCUGGAGUCUCGUAGAGGGAGGUAGAAUUCCAGGUGUAGCGGUGAAAUGCGUAGAGAUCUGGAGGAAUACCGGUGGCGAAGGCGGCCUCCUGGACAAAACUGACGCUCACGUGCCAAAGCGUGGGGAGCAAACAAGAUUAAAUACCCUGGUAGUCCACGCCGUAAACGAUGUCGAUUUGGAGGUUGUGCCCUUGAGGCGUGGCUUCCGGAGCUAACGCGUUAAAUCGACCGCCUGGGGAGUAACGCCGCAAGGUUAAAACUCAAAUGAAAUUAAGGGGGCCCGCACAAGCGGUGGGAGCAUGUGGUAUACUUCGAUGGACGGGAAAACCUUACCUAGGUUUUGACAUCCCCAUGAAUCCUSGGCAUCAGAUGCCUGGGAUGCCUUCGGGACUUGGAAAACAAGUGCUGGCAUGGCUGUUGUUCAGCUCCGUGCAUGUGAAAUUGUCGUCUUAUGUCCGCAACCGAAGGGCCAUAAUCCUUUUAUUC
This 1093-nucleotide ribosomal RNA is filed under the name Enterobacter cloacae. Its description in RNAcentral is "bacterial SSU rRNA". It matches the Rfam family "Bacterial small subunit ribosomal RNA", at positions 37 to 1112 of the family's 1533-position model. The record is from RNAcentral. Lineage: Bacteria; Pseudomonadati; Pseudomonadota; Gammaproteobacteria; Enterobacterales; Enterobacteriaceae.